CUUGCCAUGACCUAGCACAUUCAUGAAGAAUUGGAGACAUCUAUGAAAGAUGGGCCUAGACUCUUUCUCUUGGGCCAUCUUAAGUCAUUAUGAAGAUUUAGUAGAGUUAGAAUAAAUUUGGGCCUUGUAUUUUGGGCCAAGUAGUCUAGAUUUUAUUUGGGCUUUGUAGUCUAGCCACCUUCCUCCAAGAGUUGGCCCAACCUCUCUU
This 208-nucleotide long non-coding RNA is filed under the name Vigna radiata. Its description in RNAcentral is "long non-coding RNA (VRAD_LNC015933)". The record is from RNAcentral. Lineage: Eukaryota; Viridiplantae; Streptophyta; Magnoliopsida; Fabales; Fabaceae.